AUGGCUCCCGAUCGCUUCUUUACGGCCCCUGAUCAAUGGCCGCCGACCCGCAGCGACCCACCCGCCCGCGGCGGCGCCGGGCGAAAAUGGCGGCGGGCAUGGCGGGAGAGCGGCCACGCCCCCUCGGAUCAGACCACGCCCCCAUACGGCAAAACAGCGUCAUUCACAUCAGGCCACGCCCAUCCAGCAAACCCCCGCCCCCUCCCAUCAGGCCCCGCCCACUCCGCCAUGGCGGGGUCGCGAUCCGGCACCCCUCUGUCCCCACACGCGGGAAAAGCGUUUUCUGCCUUUAUUGUUUCGUUUUCUGCCUUUAUUUCGCUCUCUGCCUUUAUUUCCUUUUCUGUCGCUCGUCCGUCCCCGCUCCACCCCCGGCUCUGCGGUGUUCGCCCUGCGAGAGAGCUGCGGGAGCGGUGGCUGAUGCCGUGCGUGGUUCACAAAACCAGAGUUGCAGAAGGUUUGGGCUGGAGGGACAUUGAAUUUAAUUUAAUCCCACUCGGCUGGCUCAGUGUCCCUUUGCUCAGUGUCCCUAAGGCUCAGUGUCCCAGCGCUCAGUGUCUGUGCUCAUUUUCCCUGUGGCUCAGUGUCCCCGUGCUCAGUGUCCCUAAGGCUCAGUGUCCCAGCGCUCAGUGUCUGUGCUCAUUUUCCCUGUGGCUCAGUGUCCCCGUGCUCAGUGUCCCUAAGGCUCAGUGUCCCCCGUGCUCAUUGUCCCUGUGCUCACUGUCCCCGUGCUCACUGUCCCUGUGCUCAGUGUCCCUGUGCUCAGUGUCCCUUUGCUCACUGUCCCUGUGCUCACUGUCCCUGUGCUCAGUGUCCCUAAGGCUCAGUGUCCCCGUGCUCAGUGUCACUGUGCUCACUGUCCCUGUGCCCACUGUCCCUGUGCUCAGUGUCCCUGUGGCUCAGUGUCACUGUGGCUUAUUGUCGCUGUGCUCACUGUCCCCGUGCUCACUGUCCCUGUGCUCACUGUCCCUGUGCUCACUGUCCCUUUGCUCAGUGUCCCUGUGCUCAGUGUCCCCCUGCUCACUGUCUCUCUCUCGGAUUUUCUCUCCCCACCUGCUGAAUAAAGAGCAGCUGAGCCCAGAGCAGGGCGGGAGGUGUUGGGGAAGCUGAAACUCUGAAUUUCCUGUUCACUGCAGCCUCUGCAGCCUGGCUCUGCUCUCGCUGCACAGCAGGGUCGCAGAAAAGAUCCUGCAGAGCUCACUGCCAUUUCCCUGGUGAAUCAAACCUGAUUCCAUCCUGAGAAUUAUUGAGUUGACUUGGCUGGGAGGGACCUUAAAGCUCCUCUCAUUCCACCCCUGCCAUCCCAUUGCAGCCUCCCUUGGAGAAAGCUUCCAGAAUUAGUAAUGGAACAAAGUCACUGAUGUCUAGUUCAAAUAAAAUAAUAAUAUCACACGGUAAAGAGCUUAAAGUGUUAGAAUAUAAUAGUAAGUGUAGGAGAAGAUGAAAGUUUUAAGGUGUUUUUCUUCCUUCUUGUUCUUUGUCUUAGGUGUAAGUAGUAUUCUUUAAAUAAAUAAAUGUGCUGCACUUCAGAAUUAAAAUAAAAAGUGCAGGUCACAAGUGUUUAGUCAUUAGGUCAAAAGUAGAAAUAAUAUGUGUUAAUUUUCAUUGAACUGUUUAAGCUUAUAAAACCUUGUAGUGAGUGAAAUACAUCAUCAUUUCUUCACUUGCAGCUCUCUAGCCAGAAG
This 1682-nucleotide long non-coding RNA is filed under the name Ficedula albicollis (Collared flycatcher). RNAcentral's name for it is "lncRNA (ENSFALG00000026617.1)". Lineage: Eukaryota; Metazoa; Chordata; Aves; Passeriformes; Muscicapidae. The record is from RNAcentral.